AAAGCCGCGAAGCCGGCCUUCCACACAUCUUCCAGCACCUGCGCGCCUGAAUGCGUCCCACUCAGGCCCAGACACAGGCUUCUUCUCCCCGGGUCCUGGUCCUGCAUCCUCUCCCAGAGCCUCCGUUAGGGGGUGGGAAAGGACGUUGCCAUAGGUCUCUGAGGGCACCAUCUGCUCUCUUACUGGCCAAGGCCGUAAAAAGGUAGUCCUCCCAUUCGUUAGGGGGCAAACCCCAGAAAGUCUAUUGGCUGCGCCGUCCGCGAGCUUUGGUCUGCUUUGAAGGCGGGCUGCGGCGGCGAGAGGAGGGCGGGCGGGAGGCUGGCUGUUGUCGUGGUUACGCGGAGGCACGUGUGCAGCCCCGGAAGCGGCGCGGGGAAGCUGCUCCGCGCGCGCCGCGGGAGGAGGUGCCGCCCGGUCCGUUCGGGUCGGGCCCGGCUGGGCCAUGGAGUUGUUGCCUGAGCCCGCGUCGCGCUGUCUUCUGCUUCUUCCCUUGCUGCUGCUGCUUCUGCUGCUGCCUGCCCCGGAGCUGGGCCCGAGCCAGGCCGGAGCUGAGGAGAACGACUGGGUUCGCCUGCCCAGCAAAUGCGAAGUGUGUAAAUAUGUUGCUGUGGAGCUGAAGUCAGCCUUUGAGGAAACCGGCAAGACGAAGGAGGUGAUUGGCACGGGCUAUGGCAUCCUGGACCAGAAGGCCUCUGGAGUCAAAUACACCAAGUCCAUUUCAGAUCCCCCAGACCAGAUGACCUAUCUUCCUUCCAGCUCUGACUCACUUCCCGUUGGUGAGAUGUGCAGGUGUUGGGGCACAGGGCUGGAGGGACAGACCACUAACCCACUGGGGCUAGGAGGGGAACUCAGUUCCUCUCGUCCUGCUAUCUUGGCAGGGACUUGCGGUUAAUCGAAGUCACUGAGACCAUUUGCAAGAGGCUCCUGGAUUAUAGCCUGCACAAGGAGAGGACCGGCAGCAACCGAUUUGCCAAGGGCAUGUCAGAGACCUUUGAGACAUUACACAACCUGGUACACAAAGGGGUCAAGGUGGUGAUGGACAUCCCCUAUGAGCUGUGGAACGAGACUUCUGCAGAGGUGGCUGACCUCAAGAAGCAGUGCGACGUGCUGGUGGAAGAGUUUGAGGAGGUGAUCGAGGACUGGUACAGGAACCACCAGGAGGAAGACCUGACUGAAUUCCUCUGCGCCAACCACGUGCUGAAGGGAAAAGACACCAGUUGCCUGGCAGAGCAGUGGUCCGGCAAGAAGGGAGACACAGCUUCCCUGGGAGGGAAGAAGUCCAAGAAGAAGAGCAGCAGGGCCAAGGCAGCAGGCGGCAGGAGUAGCAGCAGCAAACAAAGGAAGGAGCUGGGUGGCCUUGAGGGAGACCCCAGCCCCGAGGAGGAUGAGGGCAUCCAGAAGGCAUCCCCUCUAACACACAGCCCCCCUGAUGAGCUCUGAGCCCACCCAGCGUCCUCUGUGCUGAGACCUCUGAUUUUGAAGCUGAGGAGUCGGGGGCAUGGCUCUGGCAGGCCAGGAUGGCCCCGCAGGCUUCAGGCCCUCCUUGCCUUGGCUGUGCCGUCGUCUUCCAAGGAAAGACACAAGCCCCAGGAAGAACUCAAGAGCUGCCAUGGGUAGCCUAUGCCGGCCUUUCCCGUCCCCAGAUGUUUCUCUCCUGACCCGGGGUUCAGGCAGGCCUUGUGGUUUUAGGACUGCAAGGACUCCAGUGUGAACUCAGGAGGGGCAGGUGUCAGAACCGGGCACCAGGACUGGAGCCCUUCCAGAGCCCAAGCUCACCUCACCUCAGUCCUCCCCCACAGGGAACUGAGACUGCAGCCCCCCAUGGCUGUUCUCUGCUCAUCCCUCCUGUGGACACCUUGCACUCUGCCUGGCCCUCCCCAGGGCCCAAAGAGUAAAAAUGUUCUGGUUCUGA
Molecule: non-coding RNA, 1912 nt
Organism: Macaca mulatta (Rhesus monkey)
Lineage: Eukaryota; Metazoa; Chordata; Mammalia; Primates; Cercopithecidae
Source: RefSeq, a predicted model, not a curated record